RNAcentral lists this ribosomal RNA (545 nucleotides) under uncultured archaeon. RNAcentral's name for it is "bacterial SSU rRNA". It matches the Rfam family "Archaeal small subunit ribosomal RNA", at positions 326 to 873 of the family's 1478-position model. The record is from RNAcentral.
CGGGGUGCAGCAGGCGCGAAAACUUUGCAAUAAGCGAAAGCUUGACAGGGCUAUCCCGAGUGCCAUCCGCUGAGGAAGGCUUUUACCCAGUCUAGAACGCUGGGGGAAUAAGGAGAGGGCAAGUCUGGUGUCAGCCGCCGCGGUAAUACCAGCUCUCCGAGUGGUGUGGAUGUUUAUUGGGCCUAAAGCAUCCGUAGCUGGCUAAGUUAGUCCCCUGUUAAAUCCACCGAAUUAAUCGUUGGAUUGCGGGGGAUACUGCUUGGCUAGGGGACGAGAGAGGCAGACGGUAUUUCCGGGGUAGGGGUGAAAUCCUAUAAUCCCGGGAAGACCACCAGUGGCGAAGGCUGUCUGCUAGAACGCGCCCGACGGUGAGGGAUGAAAGCUGGGGGAGCGAACCGGAUUAGAUACCCGGGUAGUCCCAGCUGUAAACGAUGCAGACUAGGUGUUUGAACGGCCACGUGCCGUUCUAGUGCCGCAGGGAAGCUGUUAAGUCUGCCGCCUGGGGAGUACGAUCGCAAGAUUGAAACUUAAAGGAAUUGGCGGGG